This 460-nucleotide ribosomal RNA is filed under the name uncultured bacterium. RNAcentral's name for it is "partial 16S ribosomal RNA". It matches the Rfam family "Bacterial small subunit ribosomal RNA", at positions 338 to 795 of the family's 1533-position model. The record is from RNAcentral.
CCUACGGGUGGCAGCAGUGAGGAAUAUUGGUCAAUGGGCGGGAGCCUGAACCAGCCAAGUCGCGUGAGGGAAGACGGUCCUAUGGAUUGUAAACCUCUUUAGGCGGGGAGCAAUGCCGGGCACGCGUGCCCGGAGGGAGAGUACCCGCAGAAUAAGCCUCGGCUAACUCCGUGCCAGCCGCCGCGGUAAUACGGAGGAUGCGAGCGUUAUCCGGAUUUAUUGGGUUUAAAGGGUGCGUAGGCGGAUUUUUAAGUCAGCGUUAAAAUGUCCGGGCUCAACCCGGGCCGGCCGUUGAAACUGGGGAUCUUGAGUGGGCGAGAAGUAUGCGGAAUGCGUGGUGUAGCGGUGAAAUGCAUAGAUAUCACGCAGAACUCCGAUUGCGAAGGCAGCAUACCGGCGCCCGACUGACGCUGAGGCACGAAAGCGUGGGGAUCGAACAGGAUUAGAUACCCUAGUAGUC